Long non-coding RNA from Sinocyclocheilus rhinocerous, 1512 nucleotides. RefSeq lists it as uncharacterized. The transcript has 3 exons. The record is from RefSeq and is a predicted model, not a curated record. Lineage: Eukaryota; Metazoa; Chordata; Actinopteri; Cypriniformes; Cyprinidae.
UUUAGCAUUGCAUGAUAAGUGUGAAUAGUUUUUUUUGUUGUUGAGAAAUUAAACAAGAUUAUUAGAAUCAUGAACCAAGAUGCCACACAGAUUACAAAAAUGCUGACAUUGCAAUCACGAAGUGUUCAUGAAGUGAAACCAAUUUUUAUUUCAGUCACGAGCUCUGCCACUUUAUAAAGCAACAUUUCCUUUCAUUCUUGAUUCUCAUGAUGCUAUUGUAUGUUCACAGUGACUUAUAAAACAGAGGAAAUGAGACCAAACUCCAAUAUCUGUCUCCAUUUUUUAAAAGGAGACCUCUCCAACUUUAAACAUUUCCUGAGCAUCUGAUGCCAGAUUAUGAGCAUUUCCUGAGACAUUAAACAAAGAAGAUAUCACAAUAUCAUCACAUUUACCUGUUGUGUGCUGUAAGAUGUCUUCAACAAAAAAACUGUUUGAACCAUUUAAAAGCGAGCUGGAGAAAAAGGCUCUUUCCACCUCUCUUCCAUUGAGCAUUUUGUUGAUUCCAUUGGAAGCUCUGAUUGAUAAAGAUUUUUCAUGCCCGUGCAAAGCUGAGCUGAAUGCAACCGUAUCAAGCCUCAUCUUUGCUGCACCUUUUUUUUUUGUUUUAGCUUUAACAUGUCUUGCUUUACGGCCAGUUAAACACACUGAUCGAUGUUCUUUUAAAAACAUUUUCAAAUUUCCAAAUUUCAAAGAAUCGUCCUCUAAUUGUCCAAAUUCCAAAGAAUGCUCCUGUAAAUGUCCAAAUUUUAAACAAUGUUUCCAAAAAUGUGUAAAAUGGAGAGAUUUCUUUCUUUGCCUGAUUCCACCUUUUGUGUGGAUCAUUCUUGUGCUCCUUGAUGGUGAUUAUGUUGCCUGUCAGAACACAGACUGGAAUGGAGUGUAUGUUUCAGAUGAGCAGCUACAUGUGAAAUGGUGUAAACCGACUAAAUCAGUUCCAAGAAGAAAUGAGACCGAACUACAGGCUCUGACUCUCAGCUUUAUUGCCACUUCACAGAAUUGGGGAUAUGGUCUGCUCCUUGUCUUCAGCUUUGGUAUUAUAGUCAUUGUAGCUUGUGAUGUCUGCCGGAGUGAAGAAAAGCCACAAAAUGAGGACAUGCUGUCACUCUAUACAUAGAUGAUAUGAUGUGUGAAUAUGUAAUGUGUAAGAUAUCAAUCAUGUUGUAAAGACAAAUUGUUCUAUAGAGAUCAAUAAAGUGUCUAUACUGAUUUAAUUCAGUGAUUGAUCUUCACUUCACUGUUUAAAAUCACACUAAUCAACUCGUUUCUACAAGUCCAGUCAUCUUGAAACUGAUGGCGGACAUUAAACAAGUAGCCUCGUGUAGGCUAUAGGGAAGUGUUUAUGUUUUAUUUUUUUAUAUUAAGUAACAUUUCCACAAUGUUUUCAAUCAGCAUUUCGGUAACCACAAAAGUUAAAAUGUGGUUAAUCAAAGCACAUAUUUUUACACUGACACAAACAAACACUCACCUGGAAGUAACCAGCAACAGUUUGCUCCUGAAACAAAUCUGUUAGUA